Non-coding RNA from Rattus norvegicus (Norway rat), 404 nucleotides. Lineage: Eukaryota; Metazoa; Chordata; Mammalia; Rodentia; Muridae. The record is from RefSeq and is a predicted model, not a curated record.
GGAAGUGCCUUCACUGGGAGCUGUGUGUAACAGGAAAGCAGGGGCAGCUACGUAACGCUUAACAUAUAAAAGAUGCCAAUUGGUAGAGAAAGAGUGGAAGCCGUUCUUCACUUGGGCUUCAUGUCACCAAGAGCACGCUUACGGAAAGCCUGUCAUUUACACAGUGCAUGGCAGGUGGUAGAGAUCAAUCCUCAGGCGUGGUGGAGAAUUGGAUGACCUAUGUUCUUCAUGGCAACGACACACUGUGGGCUGCAUUUAUUUUGGAUGAAUUCAAAAGCUGAAAUUAUAGUGGAAAAAACCCCCUUGACUCCUAUUAUAAUGUCAAACACUGGUAGAGACAUUUGGACAUCAUCCAGAAAAAUCAAUAGUUGCUCCAGACACAAUAAAAUACUACACAAGAAAAA